This 253-nucleotide ribosomal RNA is filed under the name uncultured bacterium. RNAcentral describes it as "partial 16S ribosomal RNA". It matches the Rfam family "Bacterial small subunit ribosomal RNA", at positions 524 to 776 of the family's 1533-position model. The record is from RNAcentral.
UACGGAGGGUGCAAGCGUUGUUCGGAAUUAUUGGGCGUAAAGGGCUCGUAGGCGGGCUCAUAUGUCGAUUGUGAAAGCCCCAGGCUCAACCUGGGAAUUGCAGUCGAAACUGUGAGUCUUGAAUACCUGAGAGGGUGGGAGAAUUCCUGGUGGAGUAGUGAAAUACGUAGAGAUCAGGAGGAAUACCAGAGGCGAAGGCGCCUGCCUGGCAGUGUAUUGACGCUGAGGAGCGAAAGCGUGGGGAGCAAACAGG